AGAGUUUGAUCCUGGCUCAGGACGAACGCUGGCGGCGUGCUUAACACAUGCAAGUUGAACGAGAAGUUUCUUCUUGAAUUUUUCGGAAUGAUUGAAGAGAUGGAAAGUAGCGAACGGGUGAGUAACGCGUGGGUAACCAACCUUAAACUGGGGGACAACAUCGGGAAACCGGUGCUAAUACCGCAUAUAUGCAGACAUGGCAUCAUGAUUGCAGGAAAGGCUUCGGCCGGUUUAAGACGGACCCGCGUCCAAUUAGCUAGUUGGUGGUGUAAUGGACCACCAAGGCGACGAUUGGUAGCCGGGCUGAGAGGCUGAACGGCCACAUUGGGACUGAGACACGGCCCAGACUCCUACGGGAGGCAGCAGUGGGGAAUAUUGCACAAUGGGGGAAACCCUGAUGCAGCGACGUCGCGUGAAGGAUGAAGGUUUUGGGAUCGUAAACUUCUUUGAUCUUGGACGAAAAGAGANGGACCC
This 474-nucleotide ribosomal RNA is filed under the name uncultured bacterium. Its description in RNAcentral is "bacterial SSU rRNA". It matches the Rfam family "Bacterial small subunit ribosomal RNA", at positions 8 to 462 of the family's 1533-position model. The record is from RNAcentral.